CUCGACCUAUUCUCAAACUUUAAAUGUGCAGACAAUCCAAUCAUACCUAUUCGGAUGGUUGGUUACAAACGCAUUAAGGCACCAAGUGGGCCUUCUUCGGUAAGCGGAGCAGGCGAUGCGGAAUGAACCGCUUAGGGAUAUGUGGCGUCAAAACUUUUCGGCUUAUUCUCGAUACGUGAAAAGGGUGUUGAUGGAUCUGGACAGUUGGACGGUGGCCAUGGAAGUCGGCACCCGCUAAGGAGUGU
RNAcentral lists this ribosomal RNA (245 nucleotides) under Schmidingerella taraikaensis. Its description in RNAcentral is "partial Eukaryotic large subunit ribosomal RNA". It matches the Rfam family "Eukaryotic large subunit ribosomal RNA", at positions 1046 to 1281 of the family's 3401-position model. Lineage: Eukaryota; Ciliophora; Spirotrichea; Tintinnida; Rhabdonellidae. The record is from RNAcentral.